GAAGAGCGCUCAUUGGCUUUUGUAGGAUGAUCAUUGGCGCGUGCUUAUCCAAUGAACAUCUCACAAAACCUCAGUGGGCGGUCCU
This 85-nucleotide microRNA precursor is filed under the name Capitella teleta. RNAcentral describes it as "microRNA cte-mir-2719 precursor". The record is from miRBase by way of RNAcentral. Lineage: Eukaryota; Metazoa; Annelida; Polychaeta; Capitellidae.